AAGUGAACCAUCUCAGACACCUGUCAGUUACCAAUGUAAAAUUGUCUUCUAAAACCACCAUGGGUUCCCUGGAAUAUUGUGCAGGCAGGAGCUGGGAAGUCUCCGUUGCAUGCAGCUCGAUGCUCUCCCCCACCAACACUGGGGGCUCAAGGACGGGCAGUAGUGCAUAUGAUGAUGACGGUGACGUGGUUGGUGGCGACGAUGUGACCCUGGACUCGUGCGUGAUGAUGGUGGGAAGAGCUAUGAUGGGGGUGACUAAUGAUGGUUGGCGCUGGAACUUGAAGUGUGGUGUCCUGUGCAACAGAGGCUGAGAUGGUGGGGAUGGUGAUGGAGGAGAACUCAUUCUCCUCCAUGAUGGUGGCUGGCUCCAGGGAUUCGUACUCAGUCAUGAUUGUACUGCUGUCGUCGUCUGCAAGGGAAGGGAAGCCAUCAGCUAUUAUCUUCAUGAAGUAAGGUACAAUCACUUUAUCCACGACACUGUACAGAAUGACCUGGGAAAUCUGUGCUGUUCUGUACAGAAGACAAGUUUCCUUUGGACAUUUUCCCAUAAGAUAUGGGAAGAAUUUUCAUGAAAAAAAAACUGAACACUGAAUUUUAUGACAGAACUAGGUUAGUUAGCUUAUGGAAAAGAAAUAAAUAAAAUUUUAAUUUAAGAUUUCUAGAAAUCUGAAUUUGAGCACUAAGAUUUGGUAAAAUUAGUGAUCUUUUAUUUAUAAAUAUAAAUACAAUUUAUACUACUAAGUUGUGUGAGGGGACAUCUUAGUUUACCACUAAGUUGAACUGAAAAUAAGAGAAAAUGGGAAAUAAUGCCUCAAGAACUAGCGAAUAAUUGUUGUGCCGUGCAGUCAAAACUCUGUACACUUUAGGUUUUAACAUAUCACCGACUACACUGUUACUAUCAGAGACAUUGUUGUAAAGCCUUGUAGAUGUAUAACACAGUUUAGUGUUGUGCAUGUUGAGUACAGUAAAUAGACAUUGUGUUCAUCAGCAACACAAAGUGAUUUAUCCCUAACAGUGAAACUCUCAAAUCAGUCAUAUUAAAUAUAUUAAUAAAGAUUUGUCAUGCCUUUUGACCCAUAUCAUGAGUGGCCAUGUUUGUGAUACUGGUGUUUUUUGUAAGAACUCAAAAUUUGUCAUGUGUAGAUGUGGACUGUGACUAUCAUGCGUGCAUGCUAUAUCAUUAAACCUCAUUAUAUAUAACUCAUUGCUGUGCUAUUUAAAUUUGAAGUGUAGUUAAUGACAUGCAGAUACAUUAGUUGGAGAUUUCCUAAAAGUCCCUUUUCUGUUUGUGAAGGUUCGAUUUUCCACUGUACAUAUGAAAAAAAAUUUCUAGCUUUAUUUCAUAUAUACUUCUAUCUUCAACACUGUUCCAGAGCUUGUUUAGUUGAUGUAACUAAAAUAAUGAGUAGAAAUUAGAGUUUGAAUCCAUUACUUUUCCAGUCAGUGCUUAUACAAGGGAAGAGAGGCACAACUUAAGACCUUCCUGGUACCCACUGUACUGUGCUAAGCCAACCAGCUCUUCAAUGUAUCUCCAUCUGUUUCUCUCUAGAGAAAAUAAUUGAUAUGGCAGCAUAAAAUAACAGACAGGGAGGCAGUCUUGCCUGUCAGGAAUAGGUGGAUGCCUUGUGGCUGUGUGUAUGACUGGUUUUAGAGUGGAGUGGAGGAGAGGGAUGGCUAGUACUGUAGCACAGAAGGGAUGUUCUGCUUGGUGCAGUACUUCACUGCCUAUUGGUAGUACCAGUGUCUCUAUUCUGAACUGAAUAGUGUACAAUACUGAAUUUAAAUCAGCAUUAACAAAAUAUGAAACUUGCAAAAUAUGAAACUUGCAAUUGUGUCUAUAUGGAUGCUAGUACAGUGUUUAGUACUGCAGUCAUCAAUCACAAUUCUCACAUUUAUGUUUCACUUUACUUCCAUAUUGAAGAGCAUGGUACUUUGUAUAGAUCUAUGUACAGAGUUUUGACAAACUGUUUAGCCAAUACUGAUUUCAGGUUUAUUUUUAGGCCUUAAGCAGGGAUGAAGGAUCAUUUAUGAAAAGAGAUGUAUUCUGAAAGCAAAGUUUGGCAGUAAAUUACUAGUAUCAAAGCCAUUAUCAGAUUUCUGAUUGCUAGGGGUCUUGAAAUAAUAGUGAUGAAACAUUAAAGUAUUUAGAACACGAGUG
This is a long non-coding RNA of Scylla paramamosain (green mud crab), 2158 nucleotides long. RefSeq lists it as uncharacterized. Lineage: Eukaryota; Metazoa; Arthropoda; Malacostraca; Decapoda; Portunidae. The record is from RefSeq and is a predicted model, not a curated record. The transcript is spliced from 3 exons.